AAGAAUAAAAAAAGGACACAGACAAGGAAACAAUGUAGUACUGCUUGAUUCUACCAAAUUAGACAAGUUCGGUUGGACUUCAGUGAGAAAUCUACCAACAGACAACUUAAAUUUUGGAUGGGGAGAAGGAGUUUAUAUCAAAGACGGAACACAAUUUAGAGUGUAUGCUUCCUGUUCUAUUGGAAGUAGUUCUCUUGACAACUGGCUGCGGACACCGUUUAUAGAUACGAAAGA
Molecule: long non-coding RNA, 234 nt
Organism: Mytilus californianus (California mussel)
Lineage: Eukaryota; Metazoa; Mollusca; Bivalvia; Mytilida; Mytilidae
Exons: 3
Source: RefSeq, a predicted model, not a curated record